GACGAACGCUGGCGGCGUGCUUAAUACAUGCCUGUCGAACGGAGUUAAGGGUUUCGGCCUUUAACUUAGUGGCGAACGGGUGAGUAACGCGUGAAUAACCUGACUCCAAGAGGGGGAUAACAACGGGAAACUGUUGCUAAUACCGCAUGAGACCACAACACCGCAUGAUGAAGGGGUCAAAGAUUUAUCGCUUUGAGAGGGGUUCGCGUCCCAUUAGGUAGUUGGAGGGGUAACGGCCCACCAAGCCAACGAUGGGUAGCCGAGCUGAGAGGCUGAUCGGCCACACUGGAACUGAGACACGGUCCAGACUCCUACGGGAGGCAGCAGUAGGGAAUAUUGGGCAAUGGGCGCAAGCCUGACCCAGCAACGCCGCGUGAGGGAAGAAGGUUUUCGGAUUGUAAACCUCUGUCCUAUGUGACGAAGGAAGUGACGGUAGCAUAGGAGGAAGCCCCGGCUAACUACGUGCCAGCAGCCGCGGUAAUACGUAGGGGGCGAGCGUUGUCCGGAAUUACUGGGCGUAAAGGGUGCGUAGGCGGUUUGGUAAGUUGGAUGUGAAAUACCCGGGCUUAACUUGGGGGCUGCAUCCAAUACUGUCGGACUUGAGUGCAGGAGAGGAAAGCGGAAUUCCUAGUGUAGCGGUGAAAUGCGUAGAUAUUAGGAGGAACACCGGUGGCGAAGGCGGCUUUCUGGACUGUAACUGACGCUGAGGCACGAAAGCGUGGGGAGCAAACAGGAUUAGAUACCCUGGUAGUCCACGCUGUAAACGAUGAUUACUAGGUGUGGGGGGACUGACCCCUUCCGUGCCGCAGUUAACACAAUAAGUAAUCCACCUGGGGAGUACGACCGCAAGGUUGAAACUCAAAGGAAUUGACGGGGGCCCGCACAAGCAGUGGAGUAUGUGGUUUAAUUCGAAGCAACGCGAAGAACCUUACCAGGUCUUGACAUCGAUCUAAAAGGGAUGGAGACAUCCUCAUAGCUAUAGAGAAGACAGGUGGUGCAUGGUUGUCGUCAGCUCGUGUCGUGAGAUGUUGGGUUAAGUCCCGCAACGAGCGCAACCCCUGUCGCCAGUUACCAUCAUUGAGUUGGGGACUCUGGCGAGACUGCCUCUGCAAGGAGGAGGAAGGCGGGGAUGACGUCAAAUCAUCAUGCCCCUUAUGACCUGGGCCACACACGUGCUACAAUGGACGGGACAGAGGGAAGCGAAGGCGCGAGCCGGAGCGGACCCCAGAAACCCGUUCCCAGUUCGGGCUGCAGUCUGCAACUCGACUGCACGAAGCCGGAAUCGCUAGUAAUCGCGGAUCAGCAUGCCGCGGUGA
RNAcentral lists this ribosomal RNA (1316 nucleotides) under uncultured bacterium. Its description in RNAcentral is "partial 16S ribosomal RNA". It matches the Rfam family "Bacterial small subunit ribosomal RNA", at positions 28 to 1365 of the family's 1533-position model. The record is from RNAcentral.